Molecule: transfer RNA, 74 nt
Filed under: Candidatus Kaiserbacteria bacterium RIFCSPHIGHO2_01_FULL_53_29
Lineage: Bacteria; Candidatus Kaiseribacteriota
Also listed under: 1 other name
Description: tRNA-Gly
Rfam family: tRNA
About the family: Transfer RNA (tRNA) molecules are approximately 80 nucleotides in length. Their secondary structure includes four short double-helical elements and three loops (D, anti-codon, and T loops). Further hydrogen bonds mediate the characteristic L-shaped molecular structure. tRNAs have two regions of fundamental functional importance: the anti-codon, which is responsible for specific mRNA codon recognition, and the 3' end, to which the tRNAs corresponding amino acid is attached (by aminoacyl-tRNA synthetases). tRNAs cope with the degeneracy of the genetic code in two manners: having more than one tRNA (with a specific anti-codon) for a particular amino acid; and 'wobble' base-pairing, i.e. permitting non-standard base-pairing at the 3rd anti-codon position.
Source: RNAcentral
GCGGGUGUAGUUUAGUGGUAGAACAUGACAUUGCCAAUGUCAAAGCUGGAGUUCGAUUCUCCAUACCCGCACUA